AAAGGCGAAAAGAACCCCGGCGAGGGGAGUGAAAAAGAACCUGAAACCGUGUACGUACAAGCAGUGGGAGCACAGGUUUACCUGUGUGACUGCGUACCUUUUGUAUAAUGGGUCAGCGACUUAUAUUCUGUAGCAAGGUUAACCGAAUAGGGGAGCCGGAGGGAAACCGAGUCUUAAUUGGGCGUUAAGUUGCAGGGUAUAGACCCGAAACCCGGUGAUCUAGCCAUGGGCAGGUUGAAGGUUGGGUAACACUAACUGGAGGACCGAACCGACUAAUGUUGAAAAAUUAGCGGAUGACCUGUGGCUGGGGGUGAAAGGCCAAUCAAACCGGGAGAUAGCUGGUUCUCCCCGAAAGCUAUUUAGGUAGCGCCUCGUGAAUUCAUCUCCGGGGGUAGAGCACUGUUUCGGCUAGGGGGCCAUCCCGGCUUACCAACCCGAUGCAAACUGCGAAUACCGGAGAAUGUUAUCACGGGAGACACACGGCGGGUGCUAACGUCCGUCGUGAAGAGGGAAACAACCCAGACCGCCAGCUAAGGUCCCAAAGUCAUGGUUAAGUGGGAAACGAUGUGGGAAGGCCCAGACAGCCAGGAUGUUGGCUUAGAAGCAGCCAUCAUUUAAAGAAAGCGUAAUAGCUCACUGGUCGAGUCGGCCUGCGCGGAAGAUGUAACGGGGCUAAACCAUGCACCGAAGCUGCGGCAGCGAACGUAUCACUUAAAGCGAUUCAGCG
Molecule: ribosomal RNA, 727 nt
Filed under: Salmonella enterica subsp. enterica serovar Dublin
Lineage: Bacteria; Pseudomonadati; Pseudomonadota; Gammaproteobacteria; Enterobacterales; Enterobacteriaceae
Description: partial 23S ribosomal RNA
Rfam family: Bacterial large subunit ribosomal RNA
Source: RNAcentral